CUGAAGGUAUUGGAUUGUGUGAUCCAACUGAUGAGAACAAAAGUUCGAAACCUUCA
RNAcentral lists this non-coding RNA (56 nucleotides) under fig hammerhead viroid-like RNA. The record is from RNAcentral.